UCAUUUAACACUAGAACUACCGAUAAUUAACACGAAGCUAUUUCUACCAAUACCAGUGAAAAUGACUGGUCUUUAAAAAAUACUUUUCUCAAGCACCGAAGCCAUCGACAGCGUAUAGACAAUAGACUGGGACAAAGGCAGACCAUAGACAGUAGACAGGCGACGAUGGCUUCGGGGUUUUCAGUUAUAGGGUGACACUGCUAGCGCGCGGAUCUGGACCAGCUCAAAUUAUCUUCCUACUUGUACUUACACUUCUGUAUUAAAAUAUAUUUUCUACUUUACAAUUUGUCCACGCGUU
This 298-nucleotide unclassified non-coding RNA is filed under the name Bombus terrestris (buff-tailed bumblebee). Its description in RNAcentral is "misc RNA ENSBTSG00005020356.1". Lineage: Eukaryota; Metazoa; Arthropoda; Insecta; Hymenoptera; Apidae. The record is from RNAcentral.